This 672-nucleotide long non-coding RNA is filed under the name Capsicum annuum. RNAcentral describes it as "long non-coding RNA (CANN_LNC016146)". The record is from RNAcentral. Lineage: Eukaryota; Viridiplantae; Streptophyta; Magnoliopsida; Solanales; Solanaceae.
AGUAACCAACAACAUUACCUUCCAAACAAAAGUUCACUUUUAAAGUCAUCGGCACUUAAGCAUUUUCAACAAAUAGAGUAACCAACAACAUCACCCCCUAAACACUAAUUCAUUAUUAAAGUCACCAAAAUUUAAGCAUUUUUAACAAAUAAAGUAACCAACAACAUCACCUUCUAAACACUAAUUCACUAUUAAAGUCACAAAAACUUAAGCUUUUUCAACUAACAAAGGCACCAACAAAACUAAUUCACUAUUAAAGUCACCGGCACUUAAGCAUUUUCAAUAAACAAAGUAACCAACAACAUCAUCUUCUAAACAAAAGUUCACUAUUAAAGUCACCAGCACUUAAGCAUUUUUAACAAAUAAAGUAACCAACAACAUCACCUUCCAAACAAAAGUUCACUAUUAAAGUCACCGGCACUUAAGCAUUAUCAACAAAUAAAGUCACCAACAACAUCACCUCCUAAACACUAGUUCACUAUUAAAGUCACCAAAACUUAAGCUUUUUCAACUAACAAAGGCACUAAUGAAACUAAUUCACUAUUAAAGUCACCAAAAGUUAAGCAUUUUCAAUAAAUAAAGUCACCAACAAUAUCACCUUUUAAACACUAAUUUACUAUUAAAGUCACCAAAAGUUAAGCAUUUUCUACAAAUAAAGUCACCAACAACAUC